UUAAACAGGGCAGAUUGGAGCCUGUGCAGGCUUAUUUAAAGAAAAACAAACGAGGUUUGGGAGCAGAGACAAAGAAACCACAGAGCACAGGGGAUAAAAAAAAUGUGGCUUCUGAUAAGACUGAUGAUAAAUUGUCUAGCAGAAGUAAAGCGAAAAGGUCAAAGAGGCUGAAGAAGGCUCUAGAAAUCGAGAAAAAAUUGCAGGAGAACGAAUUCCAAGCGGCUUUCUUUAGGGAGUUUUGGCCAGAUAAUGUCUGAUGCAACAUAACUCAUUCCGGUAUUCAACUACAUGACCAGGAAAGCUUUUUUGUUAGAUUCCUGACAUGGGUCUGAUCGAGAUCCGACUGUGAUGGAUGCCCCAACCUAUAUCUAUUUGAGACAGCGUCAAGUUAGAGAUGGACCAAAUAGCCCAAGCCCGAAAAUUCCGGACCUAGUGAGCCUGAAGCCUGGUCUGGGCUAGGCCUCAAAGCCUGAUCAAGCCGGAAUUUUGGGGGUAUGUGUGACUUAACAUCCUUUUAACAACAUAAGAUCCAUCGAU
Cynara cardunculus var. scolymus (artichoke) is the source of this 537-nucleotide long non-coding RNA. RefSeq lists it as uncharacterized. Lineage: Eukaryota; Viridiplantae; Streptophyta; Magnoliopsida; Asterales; Asteraceae. The record is from RefSeq and is a predicted model, not a curated record. The transcript has 3 exons.